UACGGAGGGUGCGAGCGUUGUCCGGAAUCACUGGGCGCAAAGGGCGCGUAGGCGGCAUGCCAAGCGUGUGGUGAAAGCCCGGGGCUCAACCCCGGGUCGGCCGUGCGGACUGGCGUGCUCGAGCACUGUAGGGGCGGGUGGAAUUCCGGGUGUAGCGGUGGAAUGCGUAGAGAUCCGGAAGAACACCGGUGGCGAAGGCGGCCCGCUGGGCAGGAAGGCUCGCAAGAGCCGGCUGACGCUGAGGCGCGACAGCGUGGGGAGCAAACAGG
RNAcentral lists this ribosomal RNA (269 nucleotides) under uncultured bacterium. RNAcentral describes it as "partial 16S ribosomal RNA". It matches the Rfam family "Bacterial small subunit ribosomal RNA", at positions 524 to 776 of the family's 1533-position model. The record is from RNAcentral.